ACGGAAGGCAGCAGUGGGGAAUAUUGGUCAAUGGGGGAAACCCUGAACCAGCAACGCCGCGUGAAGGAUGAAGGUUUUCGGAUUGUAAACUUCUUUGACGAGGAACGAUAAUGACGGUACCUCGAAAACAAGCCACGGCUAACUACGUGCCAGCAGCCGCGGUAAUACGUAGGUGGCGAGCGUUGUCCGGAUUUACUGGGUGUAAGGGCGUGUAGGCGGAAUGGCAAGUCAGAUGUGAAAACCCGCGGCUUAACUGCGGGACUGCAUUUGAAACUGUUGUUCUUGAGUGCUGGAGAGGAAAGCGGAAUUCCCGGUGUAGCGGUGGAAUGCGUAGAUAUCGGGAAGAACACCAGUGGCGAAGGCGGCUUUCUGGACAGUAACUGACGCUGAGGCGCGAAAGCGUGGGGAGCAAACAGGAUUAGAUACCCUGGUA
Molecule: ribosomal RNA, 433 nt
Filed under: uncultured Clostridiales Family III bacterium
Lineage: Bacteria; Bacillati; Bacillota; Clostridia; Eubacteriales; Eubacteriales Family III. Incertae Sedis
Description: bacterial SSU rRNA
Rfam family: Bacterial small subunit ribosomal RNA
Source: RNAcentral